RNAcentral lists this ribosomal RNA (253 nucleotides) under uncultured bacterium. RNAcentral's name for it is "partial 16S ribosomal RNA". It matches the Rfam family "Bacterial small subunit ribosomal RNA", at positions 524 to 776 of the family's 1533-position model. The record is from RNAcentral.
UACAGAGGGUGCAAGCGUUGUUCGGAAUUAUUGGGCGUAAAGCGCGUGUAGGCGGCUUUGCAAGUCGGGUGUGAAAUCCCUCAGCUUAACUGAGGAAGUGCGCCCGAAACUGCAGAGCUUGAAUACCGGAGAGGAUGGCGGAAUUCCCCAAGUAGAGGUGAAGUUCGUAGAUAUGGGGAGGAACACCGGUGGCGAAGGCGGCCAUCUGGACGGAUAUUGACGCUGAGACGCGAAAGCGUGGGUAGCAAACAGG